This 187-nucleotide non-coding RNA is filed under the name Gordonia amarae. Lineage: Bacteria; Bacillati; Actinomycetota; Actinomycetes; Mycobacteriales; Gordoniaceae. The record is from RNAcentral.
AGCCCCUGCGCCCCGAUCGGCGACGACAAGAGGGAAUCCGGUGUGAAUCCGGAACUGUCCCGCAGCGGUAUGCCGGAACGACCGCCGUCUAUCAGCACUGGGUGAGAGCCCGGGAAGCGACGGCCAGUAGGAGCGCAGCAAGCGCACGCCGGUAAGUCCGAAGACCUGCCUGUUGUACCGGGCGCGC